GCGCCUGUAGCUCAGGGGAUAGAGCAUCCGCCUUCUAAGCGGGAGGUCACAGGUUCAAAUCCUGUCAGGCGCA
This 73-nucleotide transfer RNA is filed under the name Candidatus Roizmanbacteria bacterium RIFCSPHIGHO2_01_FULL_39_12c. RNAcentral's name for it is "tRNA-Arg". It matches the Rfam family "tRNA". From Rfam's summary of the family: Transfer RNA (tRNA) molecules are approximately 80 nucleotides in length. Lineage: Bacteria; Candidatus Roizmaniibacteriota. The record is from RNAcentral. RNAcentral also lists the same sequence under 2 other names.